ACUGAUCGCGCGGGUCCACGCUUCCCUGGCCCGCUCCCAGCCGCUGCCGUCCACGAAACCCACACGCGGAUCUCGUACUCGCGUUUGUUACCAAGUCCUCCAUCCCGGUUCUCCUCGUCCCCCAUCUCUCCCUCUACCCUCAUCCUCUCGCUCUGCCUCCGGCGAUGGAUCUUCAUCGACGAAACCUACUUGGCCGCGGGCGUGCCAGCCGGAGACAUGUACGAAGCCGGCACGUAUGUGGUGGUCGACGUAGGCAACCCGCUUCUCUGUAUUAGUUGUCUCUGUGCUUGAAUCAGACUGUCCGAUCGACGCAAUCAAUAUAGGGCAUUGAUUCUUCUCCUGCCUUCCCAGCUACCCACCGCCUGGUGAAUUUCUUCCUAAUUCCUCUUCACUUGCAUAGGCAGGCCUUUCCCUUGGUGCUCGGCAAGCCCCUGCAUGUUUACAGGGAGUAUGAAUCAAGGAUCUCUUCAAACGAUGAACUGCCGAAGUUUUGGAGAUGCAGUUUAGGAAUGAUCCUUGAUGCUUGAGUUUGGACACCUUAACCGACGAUGAACUCUCUAGAUGGAAGCUCUCGAUGGAUGGAAGAAGAUGACCCGUGGGACUUCAACUCUUUCCUGUCCGGUCCUGGCACGCCUCGCUGGCCGGCCGCAGCAGGUGCAAGGAGCCCGGCCAUCGGUCGAUCUACCGGUUGGAGCUAAUGCUGUGGCUACACAUAUCGCCCUGCCGGUUAGGGUACAGAAGUAAAGCUAUCAUGGUCUUAUGGCACGAUUUCUCCCAAGAUUGCUGGCAUGUAUAUUUUACUCAAAAAGAAGUUUACACUAUAUUUAUAGAUGGAGGUUAGUGACAAGUUAACCGAGAAUCUCAACAAUGAAAAAUCUUGGUUCUCUAGAUGCAAGCGAAUACUAUGGAUAGGGCUGGAUGGAAUAAGACGACCCGCGAGACCUUCACUACAUCUUCGUUCGCAGCUCGCCUCACCGGCUGGCCGCAGCAGCAGAUCAAUCUACCGGUUGGAGAUAAUGGUGUGGCUACGUCCUGCUGGUUGGGGUGUAGUUGGUGUUGACCAAAUUGGAGACAACCUUUUGCACAAGAACGCUAGGCAUCAUGGUUUUCCGGUAUAUCUAGAUGCAUAUACGCGAUGCCGUGUUGAGCUUACCGGGGUAAUUGUGUAUCGGUGCCCAAAAAAAUGAUCUCAUGCUUGUGAUUAUGGAGCUGGCCCGUGAGGCUAUGUUAAAGGGGUGUUGAUGGACGACAAUCCAACUAUGAAAAAUUGACAUCACGAGCAUGAAAAGUUCAGAUCUGCAGCCACAAGCCCAGAAGCGAACGAGACGUAGACCAAGAAACAUGGACAAUCCUGAGGGCGUUGGAGCUGGAGCAGGCGGCGGCGGAGCUGGAGCAGGCGGAGGCGGUGGUGACGGCGGCGAGGGGGACGUCCCAGACGUUCGUUUUCUGUGGGGAUCAAAGAAGGUGAAUGUGGGUAACAGGUCUGAGGACUGGAAGAAAAACAACCUCAACUCGCCACUCAACAGGAACAUCACAUUUGAAGAGAAGGAGCUUAUGUUUGUCAACCUUAUGGAAUCAUUGGGCUUCGCCAAAGAAGUAUAAAUUUUCCUCAGUUUGUGCAUAUACGCAUUUCAUUCUAGCCUUUGGCCUGGUUCUGUGGUAUUGAAACAAAGAUCAAUUACCGAGUACCUCAUAGACUGAAUAGGCAGGGUCCUGAGAUUAAUGCACUGAAUGCUCAUGCAUGUGUGUUAAUCCGCGCCAUGGGCCGGAAGCGACGUCGUUGCUUAUUCCUUAUGGUAAUGCUGUUUGGACUAGCCCAAGUACUGAAGAUUGCCAAGUGCUCCAAUGUUCAAGUUCCUCAACAGUUUCGUAACCCCUCCCAGCUAAGAGGUGAUCUCAAGUCAUGCCAGGAAGAGAUCGAGCUGAUUGCAGCACAGCUUCAAAAUGUGAUUCAGCAGAUUGAGGAUCUUCACCAUGAAGCUGUGAUGAUUCCUGACGUGUUCCGGAAGCCACUGGAACUUCCAAAAUCCAUGGGCAAGAAGUGAUUUGUUCUUCUGUGUGAGAACCAACUUAUUUUUAAUAUGUUCUGCUAUAGUACUACUUGCAUUAGAGCUGUAGCGGAAUCAUCCAUAGGCAAGAAGAAGUGAUUUGUUUUUCUGCGUGAGCACCAACUUAUUUUCAAUAUAAAGUCUGAAGCAAUCACAGAACUGCUAUAGUACUACUUGUAUUAAAGCUGUAGUGGAAUCUCCUUUUGUCUACUGUAAUUGGAAGUCAGUAAUUGGAAAGUGACCAUUCAGAUGGUUA
Lolium perenne is the source of this 2304-nucleotide non-coding RNA. NCBI's taxonomy places the organism in Eukaryota, Viridiplantae, Streptophyta, Magnoliopsida, Poales, Poaceae. The record is from RefSeq and is a predicted model, not a curated record.